This 119-nucleotide small nuclear RNA is filed under the name Heterocephalus glaber (naked mole-rat). Its description in RNAcentral is "U4 spliceosomal RNA". It matches the Rfam family "U4 spliceosomal RNA". Rfam says of the family: U4 small nuclear RNA (U4 snRNA) is a component of the major U2-dependent spliceosome. The structure of U4 snRNA from yeast and human has been reported. U4 snRNA presents a k-turn RNA motif in the 5p-SL related to recognition of Snu13 protein. The record is from Rfam by way of RNAcentral. Lineage: Eukaryota; Metazoa; Chordata; Mammalia; Rodentia; Bathyergidae.
AGCUUUGCACAGUGGUAGUUUUGUAGCCAGUGAGGUUUCUCCAAGGUGCAAUUAUUGCUAAUUAAAGUAUAUAGGAGGAGCUGGGCAUGGUAGUGCAUACCUGUAAUUCCAGGACUGGG